GACGAACGCUGGCGGCGUGCCUAAUACAUGCAAGUCGAACGCAGUGGGGACGGGUGAGUAACACGUGGGUAACCUCCCAUCAGAGGGGAUAACACUUGGAAACAGGUGCUAAACCGAUACUGAUGGAUGGACCCGCGUUGCAUUAGCUAGUUGGUGAGGUAACGGCUCACCAAGGCCACGAUGCAUAGCCGACCCUAGAGGAUGUUAGGCCACACCGGGAUGUGGACACGGCCCAGACUCCUACGGGAGGGAGCAGGAGGGAAUCUUCGGCCAUGGACGAAAGUCUGACCGGGCAACGCCGCGUGAGUGAAGAAGGUUUUCGGAUCGUAAAACUCUGUUGUUAGAGAAGCGGUAUCUAACCAGAAAGCCACGGCUAACUACGUGCCAGCAGCCGCGGUAAUUC
This 403-nucleotide ribosomal RNA is filed under the name uncultured bacterium. RNAcentral's name for it is "partial 16S ribosomal RNA". It matches the Rfam family "Bacterial small subunit ribosomal RNA", at positions 28 to 526 of the family's 1533-position model. The record is from RNAcentral.